This 462-nucleotide long non-coding RNA is filed under the name Mytilus galloprovincialis (Mediterranean mussel). Lineage: Eukaryota; Metazoa; Mollusca; Bivalvia; Mytilida; Mytilidae. The record is from RNAcentral.
GCAUGGAUCAUCCUCAGGAUGCCGGCGUUUCUCAAAAACGCAUAAAAGUCAAUGAAAGUUUUGAACAAGACCAAGCGAGUAAGAAAAGGAAAUGCCUUCAAAAGUACAAGGACUUGUACACUAUUGAACUGAACCGGCAACGUUCCAACACUAAAGUAGAGGUUAUGAUGUGCGAGUUGAUAGCAGAACUAAACCUACCCCUGUCAUCUGCCGAUACAUAAUUCAACAAAGCAUUUAAACUAAUGUUUCCCGAUUCUAAAAUCGCAGGAGGUCAGUUUUUAUUCUAUUUUCUAUGUGUAGGCAGGAGAUGUGAAUGAUCCAUAUCUUAUAAAUGGAUCUGUCCCACAUGUCUCUUAUUUUCUUUCUUACGAAACCCAACUUUAUUGGCCUGGGCAUAUAGGGAGGGGUAAUGAAAUGUUAAAAUCCUAGGAGGGGUGCUGCCGAAAUUUUUUUUAGGGUUGG